AUUGAACGCUGGCGGCAGGCCUAACACAUGCAAGUCGAACGGUAACAGGAAGCAGCUUGCUGCUUCGCUGACGAGUGGCGGACGGGUGAGAAAUGUCUGGGAAGCUGCCUGAUGGAGGGGGAUAACUACUGGAAACGGUAGCUAAUACCGCAUAAUGUCGCAAGACCAAAGAGGGGGACCUUCGGGCCUCUUGCCAUCGGAUGUGCCCAGAUGGGAUUAGCUUGUUGGUGGGGUAACGGCUCACCAAGGCGACGAUCCCUAGCUGGUCUGAGAGGAUGACCAGCCACACUGGAACUGAGACACGGUCCAGACUCCUACGGGAGGCAGCAGUGGGGAAUAUUGCACAAUGGGCGCAAGCCUGAUGCAGCCAUGCCGCGUGUAUGAAGAAGGCCUUCGGGUAGUAAAGUACUUUCAGCGGGGAGGAAGGGAUUAAAGUUAAUACCUUUGCUCAUUGACGGUACCCGCAGAAGAAGCACCGGCUAACUCCGUG
Molecule: ribosomal RNA, 490 nt
Filed under: uncultured bacterium
Lineage: Bacteria
Description: partial 16S ribosomal RNA
Rfam family: Bacterial small subunit ribosomal RNA
Source: RNAcentral